RNAcentral lists this ribosomal RNA (438 nucleotides) under uncultured bacterium. RNAcentral's name for it is "bacterial SSU rRNA". It matches the Rfam family "Bacterial small subunit ribosomal RNA", at positions 30 to 470 of the family's 1533-position model. The record is from RNAcentral.
AUUGAACGCUGGCGGCAUGCCUUACACAUGCAAGUCGAACGGCAGCACGGGAGCAAUCCUGGUGGCGAGUGGCGAACGGGUGAGUAAUAUAUCGGAACGUGCCCAGUCGUGGGGGAUAACGCAGCGAAAGCUGUGCUAAUACCGCAUACGAUCUAUGGAUGAAAGCGGGGGAUCGCAAGACCUCGCGCGAUUGGAGCGGCCGAUAUCAGAUUAGGUAGUUGGUGGGGUAAAGGCCCACCAAGCCGACGAUCUGUAGCUGGUCUGAGAGGACGACCAGCCACACUGGAACUGAGACACGGUCCAGACUCCUACGGGAGGCAGCAGUGGGGAAUUUUGGACAAUGGGCGCAAGCCUGAUCCAGCAAUGCCGCGUGCAGGAUGAAGGCCUUCGGUUGUAACUAGCUUUGUACGGAACGAAACGGUACUGCUCUAAUACAGU